Cucurbita moschata (crookneck pumpkin) is the source of this 927-nucleotide long non-coding RNA. RefSeq lists it as uncharacterized. Lineage: Eukaryota; Viridiplantae; Streptophyta; Magnoliopsida; Cucurbitales; Cucurbitaceae. The transcript is spliced from 2 exons. The record is from RefSeq and is a predicted model, not a curated record.
GGCAUUAAUAGUACAUCUUCUGAUUGGUUUCUUGGCUUGUAUCUUUCAAAUAAUCUUGUAUGUAAGUUGAGGAGAUCUUCCCCUUCAAUGAAAAUUUUGCUUUCACUUGGUUAGAAUUUCCUGGGAAUUUUAAGGCUUUUGUUUUUGUUUGGCUAUUGUCUUUUGUUUUUUUUUCCAAGAAAUUAUUUCAUUGGGAGUUUUAAAUAUUCAAAAGAAGAGGGAGGAAAUCCGCUUCCUGAGGUAAGGAAGUUAAGAAUACUUUCCAUUUAACAUGGAGAGAACAUGAAGCAAGUUACAAUAACAUUUGGGUAAUUUGCACCAUGAUGAAAACUCAAUAUAGCUUUACUACUCACUUAUCCAAUUGGAGAACAUAAGAGUUCAAACAAAAGCUUAACGAAGUCAUUAAACACAUAGAUAUAGAUAGAGUGAUUGGACAGCCAGGCAUUAAUUUGACCGAAGUCCAAUAGAGGUUUCCAUUUCUGAAAAGCCCUUAAGAUUGCAGUGACAAAAAAGUUUUUUUUUUUCUUCUAUGGAAUUCCAACUAGAUACACAAGCUCUUCCUUUGGUUCCCCUUUAAAAGAUUUUUUCCUUCAAGCUAGAUAUUCUCAACUUGUUAGUGGUAACUUCUGGAUGUUGACAAAAUGUCACGAUAGGUUGCAACACUGACCCUUCCUGGCCACAGUACCCGAUUUUCAAUUUAUUAGGAACAUUGUCAUUGAUAUUGCCAAUUUUUCUUCAAUCCUUAGGGGUGUAUUAAGAAGUUCUCUUCCAUUUACUGGACAGAUUAUCUAGUAUCCAUAUGUUUUUCCUACUUUUGUUGGUUUGUAUGGCAGAAGAGUUUCUUUUAUUUCGUUCUUGUGAUUUUACUUUCAUUAUUCUAUGCUAUAUUUUUGUAGGUUUCAUACACCAAUAACAUUUUUUCUUAUC